Molecule: long non-coding RNA, 903 nt
Filed under: Capsicum annuum
Lineage: Eukaryota; Viridiplantae; Streptophyta; Magnoliopsida; Solanales; Solanaceae
Description: long non-coding RNA (CANN_LNC012251)
Source: RNAcentral
UUCUAUCAUCAUCGUGGACCGUACGAAUUCUCGCUGAUCAUAUUAUUUAUAUUUACAUUACUUUUUUUCUCAUUCUUCAUCAGUUAUACGAGUUUUCAUUGAUCAUAUUAUCUGUCUUUGAAUUCAUAUUGCUUAGUUAUACGAGUUCUAAACUGAUCAUAUUAUCUUUUUUCUCGUCCUUCAUCAGUUAUAUGAGUUUUCAUUAAUCAUACUAGUUGUCUUCAUAUUGCUUGGUUAUACGAGUUCUAAACUAAUCAUAUUAUCUAUCAAUCUCCAUAUUGCUCGGUUACGAGUUCUCAACUGAUCAUAUUAUCUAUCUCUAUAUUGCUUUCUUCCUCGUCCUUCAUCGACUAUAUAUACGAAUUUUCACUAAUCAUAUUAUUUAUCUCCAUAUUGCUUUCUUUCUUGUCCUUCGUCGAUUAUACGAGUUUUCACUGAUCAUAUUAUUUAUCUCCAUAUUGCUUCCUUCCUAUCUCGUCCUUCAUCGGUUAUAAGAGUUCUCACUGAUCAUAUUAUCGAUCUAUAUCUAUAUUACUUUUUGCCUCGUCUUUCAUCAACUAUACGAGUUCUCACUAAUCAUAUUAUCUAUCUCCAUAUUUCUUUCUUCCUCGUCCUUCAUCGACUAUAUAAAUUCUCACUGCUCAUAUUAUCUAUCUACUUUAUUUGAGCUUAUUUCAAACUGUAUGCCGAUAUAACAUGUUCAAAAAAUUUCUUUAAUAUAUAGUUCGAGUCGAAAGCAAUAAGUAUGGUCACAUCUACUGUUGAAAAGUUGUACUUGUCUAUGUGAAUGCCAGUGUAAUCAAAAUUAUCAACUGUAACGCACAAUAUCGAAAAAGGUUAUAUUGUAAAUUAAAAAAACUCCUACAUACAUACAUACAUACAUACAUACAUAUAUAUAUAUAU